This 1056-nucleotide long non-coding RNA is filed under the name Cyanistes caeruleus (blue tit). RNAcentral describes it as "lncRNA (ENSCCEG00000020785.1)". The record is from RNAcentral. Lineage: Eukaryota; Metazoa; Chordata; Aves; Passeriformes; Paridae.
UGAAAAUAAGAGUGGAAGAGUAUUUUAUAAUGCCAGUUUAGCAAGAGAGCAGUGCAGAAUAAAACCACACAAUAUUUGCAAUGAAAUCUUUCAUAAACUAUCUUUAAUGGGAAUUAAAAAGCAGGAAGAUAAAAAAUUGAGUUAACACAAAAGUAGGUCAUUUUACUUAUUUGACAUAAGAAUUCCUUUGCUAGAGGAACUGAGAUGAUUUAACGUAGGCUUUAGCAAAGAGUAUGACUUAGUACCUCAUGCCAUUCUGUUAAACAAUUAGGACCACAAAAUACCUGCAAAAGUGCAUAAUAAGGGGACACAGAAAUUAUAGUCUGCAACAUUCUCUGUCAAUAUGGAAUCAUCCCAGGGCAGUGUGUCUCUGAUGGAUUUUCUUAUGACUGAAUUUCACAGUAUUCAACAUUUUCCUCAGUGACCUAAAAGUAAAUAUAAAAUCAGCAUUAAUAAAAGCUGCAGAUGACAUGAGGGUUGGCAGAAUGGUAACUAAUAGUGAAUGUAGAUAAGUCAGUACGAUUUGGGUCAGCUGGUAGACCUGUCUAUUCAAACAAACUGUAAUUUAAUGCAGCAAGAUACAGCUGUCCCUGCAGAAUACGGAAUUCUCAGCUGAAAAAUAGUGAGUUUAAAAUAAAUUGUGGAGUCACAAUGGACAGGAAUCUGAGUUCUCAUUGUGAUUCUGUGGCACAAAGAGGUAGUACAGAUGGUGAAAGUGCAAAGAAGUAGUGAAUAGAAACAGGGAAAUAUUUUUUAAUCUGCACGUGGAAUUGGUGAUGCCGCUGUGCUACCUCCAGGUGUGCUACAUACGUCACCUUUUUUAAAAAAAAUUCAGGCCUAUCUUCCUUUCAGAAGGCAAUUUUAACCACACCAAUAUCUGAGUUCAAGGCAGGGGUACUCCUGGAGCAGAAACAAAACCAUCUCUGGAACAAAACCAUCUCUGGCCAUGUCCCUCACACUGGGUGAAGGAGGUCUGAGACAGUCCCUUGCUAUCUCAGACCUACGGGAGAAAGGUGAAAUGCUUACGUGACUCAUUUACACGCAAGAGAAGAAAAU